Non-coding RNA from Vicia faba (fava bean), 491 nucleotides. Lineage: Eukaryota; Viridiplantae; Streptophyta; Magnoliopsida; Fabales; Fabaceae. The record is from the annotation of a GenBank genome assembly.
UCAUUUGGCGAGGAGCUCUUCCAAGACAUGCUCUGCUUGGAAAGGUUCAUCCCCAUUAUUGGAGUCAUUAGCGUUCCAGAAAAAAACACCGGGUAGUGAUGAGGUUUGUUUGAGUUUUGUGCAGCCACCAAUGAAUAUAUCCCGUGUAAUUUUAAUAUUUAUGUGGUCAAGCGGGUCGGUGCUAAAUCCUGGAAGGACUUUACGAGGAUGGUAGUCAUUUACUACCCUUUCAUAGAUGUCUACAAAAGCAUCAUCUGUGGAUACAGGAUUUAGUUGAUUGCUGAACUGAUAAUCAACCAAAUUGAUAUAGUCUGGGUUUGCAUUAUACAAAUUCAGGUAGGAGGAUGCGUUGUUUUCAGAUGGAGCAAUGGACACCACAUGGAUGUUUAGGUCACGUUCUUUUUUGAGUUCUGUUAUAAGUUGGCCUAUCAACCUAGGAAACGCCUCAUCCCAUUUGAUGUGCUCAUAAUUAAUGUCAAUGCCAUCAAUCA